Molecule: ribosomal RNA, 455 nt
Filed under: uncultured bacterium
Lineage: Bacteria
Description: bacterial SSU rRNA
Rfam family: Bacterial small subunit ribosomal RNA
Source: RNAcentral
AGCGAACGCUGGCGGCAGGCUUAACACAUGCAAGUCGAGCGGGCGUAGCAAUACGUCAGCGGCAGACGGGUGAGUAACGCGUGGGAACGUACCUUUUGGUUCGGAACAACACAGGGAAACUUGUGCUAAUACCGGAUAAGCCCUUACGGGGAAAGAUUUAUCGCCGAAAGAUCGGCCCGCGUCUGAUUAGCUAGUUGGUGAGGUAACGGCUCACCAAGGCGACGAUCAGUAGCUGGUCUGAGAGGAUGAUCAGCCACAUUGGGACUGAGACACGGCCCAAACUCCUACGGGAGGCAGCAGUGGGGAAUAUUGGACAAUGGGGGGCAACCCCGAUCCAGCCAUGCCGCGUGAGUGAUGAAGGCCCUAGGGUUGUAAAGCUCUUUUGUGCGGGAAGAUAAUGACGGUACCGCAAGAAUAAGCCCCCGGCUAAACUUCGUGCCAGCAGCCGCGGUAAU